This 525-nucleotide ribosomal RNA is filed under the name Oratosquilla oratoria. Its description in RNAcentral is "partial 16S ribosomal RNA". It matches the Rfam family "Bacterial large subunit ribosomal RNA", at positions 1819 to 2597 of the family's 2925-position model. Lineage: Eukaryota; Metazoa; Arthropoda; Malacostraca; Stomatopoda; Squillidae. The record is from RNAcentral.
GUCCAUAUGUUUAGUUUUAUAUGGUCUGGCCUGCUCACUGAUGAUUAAAUUAAAGAGCCGCGGUAUUUUGACCGUGCGAAGGUAGCAUAAUAAUUAGUCUCCUAAUUAGAGGCUUGUAUGAAUGGUCGGACAAGAUGGAAACUGUCUCAAUACAAUACAUAAAAUUUAAUAUUUAAGUAAAAAAGCUUAAAUAAAAUGGAGGGACGAUAAGACCCUAUAAAGCUUUAUGAUACUUUUCUUUUUUAUAAAUUGUUUUGUUAUUAACCUAUUUUAGAAUUAGUAUUAUUUUACUGGGGCGGUAAAAGUAUAAUAAAAGAAUAACUGCUUUUGUUUUGUAUAACAAUUUUAGUUGGAAAUAAAUUGAUCCAUUAUUAAUGAUCAUAAGAACAAGUUACUUUAGGGAUAACAGCGUAAUUUUUUUUGAGAGUUCUUAUCGAAAAAAAAGUUUGCGACCUCGAUGUUGAAUUAAGGUUACCUUAAGGUGCAGCAGUUUUAAAGGUAGAUCUGUUCGAUCUUUAAAUCCUU